UCCCAGGCCUCGGGGACAGUUUUCUUUGGCUAUUUUCACAUAUCUAGAAUCAGGAAGUAUGGCAUUUUUUUCACAGUGGUAUGUAAAAUGAUGGUGUUAUCUUUCAAUUUAUGAUUUCUUACGUUUAAUAAAACACGGAAGUAGACAUCUAGUAAGAGGCAGUUGGGGUGUUUUGUGGUUAUUCUACCUGUGGUAGAUUCAUGGUUCCAUCAACGUCUAUGGGUUUCAUUUUUGACUCCAGGUGGGUUGAGCCUUUUCCCUGGGGACAGAAGUCUGGCCCUGUCAGCCGAGGAGUCACUUCCACUGAGGGCAAGUCUUGGCUUGGCUACUACUCACCAUGAGACCAGGGCUAGUGCCGUCACCUCUCUGAACCUCAGUUCUCUCUCCUCUAUACGGGGGAUAACAUGUGAGGACAGAAUGGCAUAGAGUCCUAUAAAGGGCUUAGCACAGUGCUGCAUUGCAUACACAUUGAAUAAUGGUGAUGAUGAGACUAAUAAUUAAAUAAUAGCAUUACCUUAUAUAGCCAGAUUACGUUUCCUAAGAAGUGUUAUUAUUUCUGAAAUACCUGGGGACCCCCACCACAAAACAUCCAGCUUGGAUUCUCAGCAGGAAGGGAUCUCAGAACCCAAACCAGCGCUCCUAUCUGUGCUGGUGUGCGUCCAGGACUGCGGCCUCACCUCACACGCUGUCCCCCCACUGCCGUCCUCCUUUCUGAUCCAGCUUUCCAUCUCCCCAGCACUCCCUUCCUCUGGACUUUGGCCCCUCUGGACACAUUCCUUUAGGAACUAUUUGCCUUGGGAAGAUGGCUGGCUCAUCUCCCUUGGAAAAGACCACCAUAAACCGCAGGGUUUCUCAAGCAACUUCUGACCCAAGAGCUUCCCCAACGAGGUUCCUCUCUGUCCCCAUCAGCCCCCUGUCUCCUCUUGCACCAUUGCUCCCUUUGCCCAGUGGUCUGCCUCUGUCCUUGCUGGGAUUCCCUCAGUACCCGGUAGCCUACAUAUAAGUGCAUGUUUUUCUCGAAGCCUCUUAUCUCUACCUAAUGAGUCUGGCUUAUCAAAAUCAGUCAAGAUCUAUGUUUAUCACCAAGUAACUCACACACCAAGGCCUCCCCGUAUCUUGAGAGCUCCCUGGCAUUUCCCAUCCGAAGUUCUCCACAGUGUUGAGAGCAUUGCACGGAUUUCCUCUCCCAGUGGUAGAAACAGGCUUUCCUCUGGAGAGUGGGGGGCUGCAGGGACUCUACCAGUUCCCUUCUUUAUCGCUGAUACUUCUCCUCACUUCAUGAGGACGCAAGCUGGAACUAAUGACUUUUCCCCAGGUUGGCCCUCCGGCAAACUUUCCUCUUUUGAGGUGAGACCCACUCCCCCAAUCUACCUUGUUCCACCUUGAAUAGCUGAUAUGCCUCGUUGCAUGAGUCCCAGGGUUAGGAAAACCCAGAUUUUUAGGUGCACCUUUGCCAACAGAAUUGUACUGUUGCACAAGCCACUCCGGCAUGGCAUUUGAUGAAAGUUCUCUGACAUCGCUCGUUUCCCCUCGAGGUCUGGUUUUCAUGGGGUUGGAUCUGGAGCAGCACCGUGGGCCCUCCAGAUGCCCCUUGGGAAAGCUGUGGAAUUAGGACUUUUCACUGGGUUUGCGACACAGUGGAAUGACUCUCAUGGUCUAAGGACGGUGCCAAAAAAGUCCUAGCUUCUCAGAACUUGUUUCUGCUCGCUUAAGAAUCUUAAGGCCAUAGUGCAGUGUGCUGGCUGGGAUGGGGCAUAGGGCUUCACACAAUGCAGUGGCACUGUGGCAUCCUUGAAUCAGAGACAGGCAAGCACAACGUGUUAGACAAGACAUAUCUAUCUGCCUUUCUGUCCAUCUGUAUAUCCCCCCAAAAUUGUGGCAUUUAAGCCAGGCUGCGGAAGACAACGUGGCAUCAUAAAGAUGUCUAGACUACAGCAAGAUGAGCCAAACUCAAGCCAGGGGUAGAAAUAAAGCGAAGAAGGGCUGCCCACCUUGUACGCAGUUCUUACCCGGCUAAUGGGGAGAGGCAGUGGAGAGAAAUGAGUGGGCUUUCUCCCACUCCCAAAUGGCCACGCUACAGAGGUCUUCUCUUAGGGGGAUUUGAAGACUGAAGCACCUUGUGCAGGCAGGUUUUGGAACCUGGGGCCACACUAGUCCAAGCUCUCCAGGGCUCUGCUCUCUGUUCAUGCCCGCAAAGGAUGGAGGAAACGCGCUGGCUGGCCUACUGGUGGCAGCCUGUGUACUGCCCUCUGGGCACCCAGCUUGUCCCUUUUCCCAGUCUCCCCAUCCCGGCUCUCCACUUUGGCCCUGCUCCCACGGACUAGGGUGCCACAAAGAUUCUGCCCGCCCGCCCUCAUGCACAAAGGCACGUCUGUCUGGAGCAGAGAAGGGCAGGCCCUCAGGGGAGGGCCUGGCCUCCACACCUCUCCCCUUAAGGAAACAGACAGGUCCAGUCCAGUGCGUUGGGGAGAGGCUCUUGCCCUCGUUAAACAUCUCACAGGCUCAGGCAGAGAGGCACAGUGACUGCGUGAGAGGAAGGUGCUCUGUUUUGGGCACCUAGUGGGACAAUGCUAUGUGAGAGGGGUGUGACACCACCCAAAUCAAAUCAGAUUAAACCAGUCCGGAGACAACGAACUGCUGCCCAGUCCUUUGCUCCUCCAUCAGUCAAAAAUCUGUCCUCUGAAAAUCUCCUCGAUUUCCUAAUUAAUACACAUAAGAGAAGACACUAACCAUUCUGCAUUUGUCCUCUCUCCGAGACUGUGAUUUACAGAGUGACUUUGAGCUUCACUGUGGCUGUCACUGUUCCCAUGCACUUAUUUGAGCUACCCUUAGUUAAGUAUAAGGGACCUGACAAAACACUAGAAAGGAAUAAAGGUGAGGUCAUGGUCAAAGGCAUGGGCUCUGCAGUCAGGAUUCCUGGAUUUAAAUCCAGAAAGGCAGUUUGCCUACACGAGGAGACCAGGGAUGAAGCCUACCCCACGUGCUUGCUCAAAGGAUGCAACAAGGUAACACGAGUGAAGCACAUGGCUCCCAGCACACAGAAAGCAUCUCAGUAGUUUUAGCUAUGGUUACGAUUAUUCAGAAUGAGUAAAACCCACUUCCUGUGCUUGAUGGAGGGUGAGAAGUGAAAUCGUCCACGAGACAGACCAUGUAGGCAGCAGGAUGGGAGUGUGAGAACUGGGGAAGAUGGAGUCCUGGAGGAUGUGGGGGAAGCUGUAGCUGCUCGGCCAGGACAGACAGGCAUCGCAAGUGUGGAUAUGGAUGAAGGAAUGGCUUCACCGGGGCCCCACAUGUGGGACAUAGGUGGUCUUCUCCCCACAGGGGGCUGGGUGCUGCUGGGCAGGGUAAUGGGCAGGACACACAGGGUCACCUCAUACUCAUACUCAUUUGGAGUCGGGUCAUAGAGGACCUCGGUGCCAGUCCGGACUUCUGACUCUUAUCGGCAAGCUCUGGGGAGCCAGUGGAGGUUUUUGUGAAGGGAAUUUGGUAGAUGCUUCUAGUAACAUUUUACAGGAAAAUAGUGGUGGUGGGAGAGGGCAGGGCAGAGGCAGAGCAGAGGCCACGGGGCACAGUGCUCUGGGUUUCCAUCCCUGAGCAAUUCAUCAGUCUUCAGGUGCUUGCUUACUGCUCAUCUUCCUCCCUGGACUGCACUCUGGUCAAGGGCAGGGGCCGCGUGCUUCCUCAGCACUGUCGUACCCCACUCAGCACCAUCCCCGGGGCUCCAUCAACUGUUAUUGAAUGGAAAUAGGAAGGGAGAUGAUGGGUCCAAAACCACGGCCCGGGGUAGGCGGGGACAAUGAGGAGGAUUUGACAAAUGACAGGAACUUAACAUAGGAAUCACCAGAUAACUCGGGGUGUGGGUAUGCAGGAUGGAGGCAGGAAUGGAGAGGCUGUUCACCGACAAAGUAGACAUAAGCAGGAGAAUCCCACUCUACAGAGCAGAGGUGAGCUCCCUGGGGCGAGUGCCUCAUCGGAAAGGAGUCACCCACCCAUUCAGAGCUGAGAGUGGGGCAGGCAGUGGGGUAGGGCAGUGGGGGUAGGGCUCGGUGGAGAGGGGAGGUGCAGGACAGUCAGAGCAAAGGGAAGAGAGAAUCUGCAAGGGAGAACAACCUGGAACCUGAACAGAGCAAUGGACAGAGGCGGCUACCCUGGGGGGCACUCUGCAUUCUCAGAUCCAUGAUAUAAGAGUUCUCUCAGGGAAGCCACGGGAGAUAGGCCCAAGGCACAGGGCCACAGCAUUCAAAGGGGAAGCUGUCACUGGUCCAUGCUGCGCAAACCUUCAGAGGCUCAGCAGGUGGAAAAUGGAAGACAGAGCUGAAGGAUCAGCCUCGUGCCUCUAAGCUCUGUUGUUCUAAUUACGCCUUACACUGUCACUGAGUCCUUCUGGAGGAGGAUCCGGAUGCCAUGGCCUCCAUUACCAGAAACUUUCCACGGCUUUCCACUUCCUAGACAGUCAGGUCCAGAGUCUGUGUCAAAGCAUUUCAGUGACUCCACAUCUGGUCUUAAAAGCACCCCUUCUCCUACAUCCUUCCCCAUCCCAUCAGUCCGUGGCUCUCCCUCUCCUUGGUGCAUGCCAGGGACUCUCACGCCUUCAUGGUUGGUGUAGGCUGUUCCUUCAGCCUGGAAGGUCCCUUCCCCCACCUACAUGGCUGCUAGUUACAACUCUUCUUAUCCUUCAAGGCCUCUGUCGAAUGCUACCUCUCCUGCAAAGCCUUUCAUGAUAUUUCCAGGAGGUAGGGUCCUUCCUCCCUUCCAGGACCCAUGGAGUGCUUUGUCUAGCAAUUACUCCAUUCUUUCUAGGAUUCCAUAGAGCUGGUAGCUUGUCUCUCCCCUCUGCUAGCUUAUGUAUGAGAGCAGAGGACAUGUUCUAUCUUUGAAUCACCCACAGCAUGAGCUCUCAUGCACAGAAGGCAGUCAACCAAUACCAGCAAAGUGUAUGAAGGGAGAAGUACUCCAGAGCAGGAGUGGCUGGGAGCUCUACCAUUUCCCACUAUUUGUUUGGAAAUUCUGGGGUGCUUCAUAGUUAUUUGGCCUUAGGGGUCACUCUGUAAAUAAAUAUCUUGGCCCAGCAGUGCAUUGCCUUAUAAGCACAUGUAUUACCCAUGAUCUCUAGAGCCAUUUUGAUAGUGAGGAUACACUCUUAUACCUACAUGAAGAUUUUGCUGAGCAUUGCCUGGAGUUAAAGAAAAAUGGAAAAACUUAGCCUGGCCAUCAGAAGUGCUUUGUCAUUAUGUGCUAUCCCUGAUGGCAGUUUAGAGAAAGCCCUAGACAGUUCCACUAGGAUUAUAAAUGUAUUUCAAGAGCCAUGAAUUAGGAGGAUAAAGUUUCCCAAACACUCAAUUUACAAACUCAAAAAGCAUCUGUUCAUUCAAUCAUCUAUCUUUUCCUUCUGCCCCUCCACAUGGGCUCUAAUGGUAUUUAGAUGUAAUGAAUAUCCUGAUUUAUUUCUCAACAGCUUGCUGUCUGUAAGGAAAACAUAUAUUCAAGAAAUACAUUCAGCAAGGUUCAGUGAGCACCUACUAUGUGCCAAGAGUGUGUCUGGGUUAACGAUGUACAGUACACGAGUCAGGGUAGUUCUUUCUGCAGUCUGUGUUUUAGGGGUUAGAUAUUUUCUGUUUUGUUAUAUAAAACUGAGAACAGUUUAGGACUGCUGUAGACAGUCCUGCCUUUUUUUUUUUCCUACUUUGUUUUUAUUUUAGGAUAGACAUUUAUAAAACACAGCUGGCUAAAUGCUAAAUGCAGCUGUGAACAACAGAAUUUAAAUAUAUCUCUAAUCCAACAAACCUGGUUCUUGGCAAGAAUGGGAAAAAAAGUUAAUUGUUUUUUAAUUUAGUCUUACACACACACACAAAGAGUAGAAGGGUAAUAUAGCCAAAGGGUAAUAGUGAGUGAUUUUUUUUUCUUAAGUUCAUUUUACUUGGAUUCUGCACUAUAGAUUGGACAGGAGUUUUCCAAAACAUUCAACCUGUGAGAAAAGUCUUCCUCUAUUUUCAUAAUGAUAGAAACCACCCUUUUCUGAGCAUUCGUUCUAGGCUGGGCAGAUGGCUUAAGAGAGCUUUGCCUGACUUGCCUCACUGCACCCUCUGGGGUAUAUGCCAUUUACGCAUGAAGAAACUAAGGCUCAGAACAAUGAACUCGCCUGCAGUCACACUGUCGGUGAGGGAUAGGACCGGAACGUACAGCCAGCUGCCUGACUUCAGGGCCCACAUUGUAGCCACAACUGGGAUUUUUCUUAACCCACCUGCAUUGCGACACAGUGGCACCAAAACAUACUUGAGAGACUCUUUCAGUGCAGUUUUUGGAACUGAGGAGUCAAAGAGCAGGCAGCCCUGAACCCUGGUCAAUAGGAGUUCGUUCAGCCAGUCGGGGCCAAGCAGCCCCCAAGUCCCAACUCUGCCACUUGGACCAGCAGACGACACUGCCCCUAAACUUUAGCUUCGUUCCCAGUGACCAGGACUAAGAGUGGUACCCGCCUCACCCGUCUCUCAGAGGAUGCAGUGAGUUACAAGUAAAGUACCUGAGUAUAGGAAGACUUUAAAGUCGCCAAUUCAGCCUCUGCUUCCGUCCUACAGUAAGACAUGUUGAGAGCUCUUUUGAAGAGAUGUUCUUUAUCCUCGCUGAAACAGGGGCCUCCACACCCCACAUCUGACUGCCGUUCCGUCAGAAGAAGGAAAGGCCAGGAGGUGCCUGACAUCACUGCCUUGCCUUUGAUGCCCAUCAGCCAAAAGACGUUAUCCGUCUCUAAGCAUGAACAAUACAAUGAAGCUGGAUUUUCCAGGCAACCAGAGUGAGUUCUCUGAAGAGGCCACUGACCUAGAUGUUCGCCCUUGUCCUCAUACCUUGGACUCUGCCUCCCAGCUGAGUUGGACAUCCUGUCAGUCCAGGCCCAUCCUCCAUUAGCUGCCCACCCAGGUAGGUGUCCUCCCUUCUCUGUGGUUGAGUGGGCUUGAUCCAGUGGUACCUUGAGAUGGGACACCUUGGGAGUACCCCAUGAACAUUGGUUGAUCAGCAGAUCCUUUUUUAAGGAAAAAAAAAAAAAACUCACUUGCCUGUAAUUUGUGUCAUGUGUGGGUGUUAAGUUUACCUAACAAAUGACCGCAGAUUAUUUUUCUAGUAGCUUAAAUGAAGGAGUAUUGCAUUAGCCAAGCCACACCUAUUUGAUGAAGUACAAGGGGCAUGACUUCCACUGUGCACCAUCUCUGCUUCCCAGAAGCUGGCACAGCAGGCCUGGUAGUACCCUGACCCUCCGAGGUUGACUCAGGGUCCAGUGAACACCUAUCAGCAGAGUCCACGAGCAGCCCCUCUGUCCUGGGAUCAGGCAUCCCUGUACUAAGGGCGGGCGAGCGUGUGACAUCCAUCUACCAUCACCACAACAAAUACAGUCAUCACCACUGAUACUCCCCGCCUGUGAUGUCACACCACCGAAAGAAGCAGAUAGUGCCUCCUUGGGUCCUUUUUGCAACCAGGCGAGCCAUCUGUGUAUGACCGCACACUAGUUUUGGGAGGCAGCUUACAAGAAGCUCUGUGUUUCCUCCCUUAAUUGUUUAUGCAUUAACUUCGCUCUUGAUUAAGCACCUCAUUUGCAGAUCCAUUUACUCAUACUAAAAAAGGCAGGGUCAACAGAAGUGAGUCUCCAGUGUUCACCGGUGGCCCUGGCAGCAAUUAGAUGAUCUUGCCUUCAGAUAUACAAUCUCAAAAGGGGACUUUCCUCAGAAGCCCUCAAUGACCAACACAAAGAAAACAAAGGAAAAGGGAAUUUGUGACUGUGAAUCACAGGCUCCACCAAAAUCCACACUCAUUCACCCAGACAGCCCCAUACCCCGCCGGCCGACACUUCCCUGGACACCACUUUGCAAAGCCAGGCUCGUUUCUUUUCAACCCUUUGCCCCCAUCAGGCUGGCUCAGCCCCACGCAGUACCUGGUUUGUCCUCUGCCGGAUGCUUGCCUUCCCACUGGUGUGCACAGAGCUAAAUCAUAAACAAUCAAUCCCUGUGGGGAAUGAAAGGGAAAGUGCCCAAGCAGAAAAGAAUGCAGAGAAGUGGGGGUGGAUUGAAACAGCAGGAGAAAGCACGGAGUGUUUACAUUCUGCCAAGUCACAGAGGGAGUGCUUGGACCUGGUACCCAGAUAAGGGCUACAGAGAGGAGGAUAUGAUUUUCAGAGAAGAUCAGAAGAAGGUUGUCUGGGGAGCUCUGCUCUGUAUCACCCUUAACCAAGGACCCAGCGCUCAAGGAGGUCAAGGAACUCCAGACCACCACUUUCAGGAAGUGAAAAGGACAUAUGUUUAGUAAUACACCAGCAUCUAGAAGCUACCUCUGCUCGUAUUUCAUUGGCCAAAAUUAGUCUUAUGGCCACACCUAAAAUAAAAUGAGAUGGAGAAUUUCAAUCCUAUUUUUUUCUUGGAAGGUUGAGAAUUAUACAUUAUUGAGGAACCCGAAUUCUUUAAUUGUUGGGUGCGACAUUCUGUAUAUAUCCAUUAAGUAAUUUACUGAUCAUAUUCAAAUAAUCUGUAUCCUUACCCAUUAUCUGCUCACUUCAUCCUGUGGUUUUAUCAAUCUUAGCUUCACGUUUAUUAAAAAAAAAUUAUGUAUUAGAGAGAGAGAGAAUAAGCAGGGGGAGGGGUAGAGUGAGAGGGAGAGAGAAUCUCAAGCAGACUCCCUGCUGAGCACAGAGCCCAAGGCAGGGCUUCAUCUGAUGACCCUGAGGUCAUGACCUGCACCAAAAUCAAGAGUCAGAUGCUUAACAACUGAGCCACCCAGAGUCUCCUUGGCUUCAUAUUUUUAAAGCUACAAAAUGUUUAUAAGUUUUAUAAUCACUGUGUCUUCCUUGUGAAUUGAAUUUUUUAUUUUAAUGUGUCUUUUUUAGCUGUAGUAUUGAUUUUUGCCUUAAAAUAGAAGUUGAUAUUAAUAUAUACUGUUAAUAUUAAUAUAGUUUUGGUUAAUAUUUACCUAUCUUUCACCCUUUCGACAUUUAAAAAAUUAUAGUGUUUCUUAUAGUAUGUAGAUUUUUUUUAUCCAGUUCAAUACUCUUUCACUUUUUUUUUUAAAGAUUUUAUUAUUUAUUCGACAGAGAGAGAUCACAAGAAGCAGGGAGGCAGGCAGAGAGAGAGAGAGGAGGAAGCAGGCUCCCUGCUGAGCACAGAGCCCAAUGCGGGACUAGAUCCCAGGACCCUGAGAUCAUGACCUGAGCCAAAGGCAGCGGCUUAACCCACUGAGCCACCCAGGCGCCCCUACUCUUUCACUUUUAACUGAAGUAUUUUGUUCACUGAUGUUUGAUGUAAUUACUGAUAUAUUUAGAUUUAAAUCUGCCAUCUUAUUAAGUGCUUUUAUUUGUCCCACAUGUCCUAUGUUCUUUUUGUCCUCUCUUGCUUGUUUGGUGUGGUCGAAUAUUCUAUAUUUUUCCUCUAUUACCUUGGAAGUGAUACACUUAUUUUACUACUCUUUUAGAGGUUAUUCUAGAUAACAAUAUGUAUCUUUGACUUAUCAAGUCUAAAGUUAAUUGGAAUUUUUAUCUUCUUCCACAGUAAUACAAGAAUCACAGACCAUUUUAAUUUCAUUCACCCCUUCCUUCUGACUUACACAUACUUGUCAUAUAUUUUAAAAAUUUAAAUCCCCAGUGGAUAUUGUUAUGUUAUUUUAUAUAGUCUAAUUCAUUUGGAUUCUUCAAAUUAGCCUUUGCAUUGUUCUUCAUUUCUUCUUAUAUCUAUAACUGUCAUGUAAAACCAUCUUCCUUCUGCUUAAAGAACACUGCCUUAGUAUCUACUGCUAGUAUGGAAUCCUGAAAAUGCCUUAAUUUCAUUUUUAUUAUCACAGGCUGCUUUCAUGGGGUGUGGAAUUCUAAGUUUUCUCUAAACACUUUAAAGAUACUUAAAUUCUACUCAUUUCUAGCUACUGUUGUUUUUGCCAAGAAGUAAGCUAGUGGUUCUUUCUUUCUUUCUUUCUUCAAGUAAUGUUAGCUCUUUUACCUUUAUUUUCUCUUUGUCUUUGAUUUUCAUCUAUUUAAUGUGAUGUACCUACAUGUGGCUUUCUUUUUAUUAAUCAUGGUUGGGGUUCCCAGGGCUUCUGGAAUCUGUGAUAUUCUUGGUCAAUUUUGACCAUUUCUCAACUAUUUUUCUCUUCAAAUAUUGCUGCUGUCUUAUUGUAGCUCUUAUUCUAGAACUUCAGUCUUCAUUUUACCUUCCCUAUCUCUUAUUCCCUGACAGCAUUUUUCAUUCUUUUGUCUUCAUUUUUCAUUCUGAUGUUUCCUUCUACCCUACUGCCCAGUUCAUUAAUUCUCCCUUUAACCAUGGCUAGGCAGCUGGUAAACUCAUCUACUGAGCUCUUUACUUUUGUUACUAUGUAUUUUUUUUCUUUUUAAUUUUUAAUUUUUUAUAAACAUAUAAUAUAUUUUUAUCCCCCGGGGUAAAGGUAUGUGAAUACCUCACCAUAGCACUCACCAUAGCACAUACCCUCCCCAAUGUCCAUAACCCAACCCCUUUUCCCCCAACCCUCCUCCCCCCAGCAGCCCUCAGUUUGUUUUGUGAGAUUAAGAGUCAUUUAUGGUAUGUCUCCCUCCCAAUCCUAUCUUGUUUCAUUUAUUUGUUACUAAAUUUUCAAUUCUACAUUUCUGUAGAAUGAUUACGUACAAAUCAUCGUUGUCUUUUUUUUAAGUUUCUAGUUCUCUGCCAGAAUUUUUACUCUUUUAUCUCCUUUGCAUAGUCUCUGCCUGAUAACACUAGUAACUACAGUUUUCUGAGAUUGUUUCUAUUGUAGUUGUUUUCCCUGAAUCUCAUUAUAUUGUCUCGUUCCUUACGUGCCUGGUUAUUUCCAUGUGUGCAGCAACUAUGUGUGAAAAACUUUAGAAGUAACAGGAGACCUUAAUGUGUACUAUUCCUCCAGUAUUUACAUUUGCUUCUGCUAGGCACUUGGAAAUACUAGGCAUCUAGGAUCACCUUAAUCCAAUUUGAAGAAUGAAGCUCAUUGGUGGCUGAGCUGAGACCCUGCAAAAUGUGGUCUGUUUCUUAUUCUUCAGUUUUAAGGUGCAGUCCAUCAGGGCCCUCACCUAAAAUGGGGGGUUUCAGGACCCCCUCUCCUAUGGUGGGCCCUAGAUUCCAACUUUUGUCCCCUUAGGAUGCAAAACUGCUUCCAUUGCUGCUUAGCCUCUCACCUUCUCAGCUGUCUCUUCCAGAAGCAGCAAAUAUCCCAAGGGGAUGAGAUGCCUCAGUUGAUGGGCUUGCCCCCUCUAAAUUCCCAUCUCUCCCUAGAUCUUGGUUUAGCAAAUCUUCAUUACCUUUUUAACUCUUUGAUGCCCUUCAGGUUGAUUUUAUUUUUAUUUUGUCCAACCUCUGACAUUGUGCUCAGCAGGAGAGCAGGCUCCAGUGGUAUAGUCUGCUGUUACCAGAUGGUAGGGAAUAGAAACACAGGAAGCGAUUCAGGUUUAUGUGCAUCUGCACACCUUACAUGAGUGCUGGGCGCUUGGGUUAACCAGGGAGCAUGAGCCUCUUUUGCCAUAUGGAAACGGGAGUCUUAUGUUGCCAGAUUUUUCCUUUUUUUUAAGAAGCAGGAAAUGCAGGCUUUUUAAAAUGUGAAAUCACAAUUUUCAGUGGUGGCUAAAAAAAAAAUUGAACUCUCAGGAAACCGAAUAAGACAUAUUUGCAGUUCAAAUCCCUUUCGAAAUACCUGAACUAUAGUACAUGUUGAUGGGAGAAAGGAGGUUAAUGGUGGUCAUCUUUCACUAUUAACCUUAGCUUUACUGAAAUCUCUUAAAAAGGCCAAUAGGAGGGGCGCCUGGGUGGCUCAGUCUGUUAUGUGUCUGCCUUUUGCUCAGGUCAUGAUCCCCAGGUUCUGGGAUUGAGCUCCACCCCACUCCAGGUUCCCUGCUGAGAGAGGAGUCUGCUCUUCUCCCUCUGCCUGCUGCUCCCCCUACGUGUGCUCUGCAUUUGUGUCAAAUAAAUAAAUAAAAUCUUUUUUUUAAAAAAAUGCCAACAGGAGGAUGGGUUCUAUUCAUAACACCAACAAUGUUUCUGGAAAAUCUCCCAUCUCUCUCUCAAUUCCUUCUUAUGACAGCCCAACUACUACAAUCCCCCUUAACUUAUCUCUUAAAUCCCACCCCCACCCCGCCCCAGGUUCAUGCCAUCUCUGGCUCUUAGCUCUUUUAUCCUUCACCUUACCUUCUGAUCUAUUCUGCUUUCCCUCGCAGGUAAUUCCCUGCCUUUUCUUCAGUGGACUCAUCAAGCCAUCCCCACGCACAGUACCAUGUGACUCAAAAUCCCUUCCAGCAUUUUCCUAUAUUCCACACAAGAGAGGCUCUAAAACCUGCCAAGACUAACCCUCCUUCACAGGAAGUGGGGGUAGGGAGACAUGACGCUGUAAAUACUCUAAAAUCUGUAUUUUUUUUUCCCUGUCCCAUCAGCUGUGCCAUCUGGGAUGGGGUGAAGCCAGGACGCGAUGUCAUUUGCAAAGGAAGGAGGGCCAGUUUCCAGGAUGCUUUGGCAUCAAGUUGGGUUUUCAGAUGGCUGCCAUUUCCCUGUCACUUACCUUCUAUUGAAAGGACAGUGCCCCCGCCCAAACAACCACCCAUCUUGCAGAUGAGGAGGGAGAAGCCAGAAGGAAGAGAAAUCAAAUGUGGUCUUUUCCUGAUUUGCCUAAUAAUAGAAAGUUGGUAAAGCAUGUCACAGAAUAGAAAGUAUUUGAUAAAAAUAGCAUCUGUUAAGCCUAGGACUCAAGCUGGAGAUGCAUGGAAAUGAAAUGUAUUCCUUCUUGAGUGUUCCCCAACUAGUAUAACAAUUCUGUCUCCCUCAUUAAUGAGAGAGGUUUAAAAUGCUACUUUUUGUGACCAAAAUGCCUCUCUUUCCCAAGGCUGAAGGUGGAGGAGGUGCUGGCUGAAUUAAGGAAAGCACUAGACUGAGAGGCUCCCUUUGGCCAGUUGGGUGUGGCUCUACCUUCCUCACACCCACUCUUGACUUUGAGAUUUGGUGUCAGGGCCCCCCGCCCUUUACACCGGCUUGUGAGAUGGGGGAUCUGGGAGAAGGUUUUCUGGACAAGCCAAUGUCACUGACUCACAGGAGCCUAAUUGAUCAUCAUAACUGUAGCUUUAUUACUCUCUCAGAGGGAGGUCUCUGGCCAGGAGGCCCUCAGUAAAAAGGCAAACAACAACACCUCCCCGAGGCAGAUAUCCUCUCCUUCACAAACCAGCUCCUCAAAGGGUUGGGUUUUCACAUUUUCCUCCUGCUACGGAGGACCUGCAGGGGUGUCCCCUCAGCUCAGGACAGGAACCCCAAAUUGGGCCUUUCUCAAAGCACAUUCUAAAGCCCAGUGAACUCUCUUCCUCAUGACUGUCAUCUGUGUCACCUGCUCUUCCAGGUCCCAGCCCCUUGACGUCCUGCUCGUGACUGAUAGUCUUUUUCUGAAAAGCAAAACUGAGCCAAACUAACAAUGGACAAGAACAAGUGAUCAAGUGGCCCCUGUUAAAUAAAUGACCUGGGUUUUUAAUGUUUUUUUUUAAAAAACAUUUUUAAAAAAUGUUUUAAAUGUGAUGGGGCGUUUGGCUGGCUCAGUUGGUGGAGCAUGUGACUUUUGAUCUUGGGGUUGUGAGUUCAAGCCCCACAUUGGGUAUAGAGAUUAAAAAUAAAAUCUUUUUUUAAAAAACUAAAAAAAUAGGGGCACCUGGGUAGCUCAGACGGUUAAGUGUCCUACUCUUGAUUUCAGCUCAUGCCUUGAUCUCUGGGUCAUGAUUUCAGGCCCUGUGUUGGGCUCCACUCUGGGCAUGUAGCCUACUUUAAAUAAAGAGAAAAAGGGGGGCACCUGGGUGGCUCAGUUUACUGGGCUUCUGACUCUUGAUUUUGGCUCCGGUCAUGAUCUCAGGGUGGUGAGAUGGAGUCCUGCUUGGGGUUCUAUGAUGAGCAUGGACCCUGCUUGGGAUUUUCUCUCUCCCCCUCUUCUUCUGGCCCUCUCCCCUUGCACUCUCAAGCUGUCUCUAAAAAAAAAAAAUAAAAGAGGGGGAGGACCAAAAAAGGUAAAAAAUUAAAAACUAAAAAUUGUGGUAAGGUACAAAUGACAUACAAUUUACUAUUUUCAACCACUUCCAAGUGUACAGUUCCUUGGCAUUAAGUACCUUCAUGUUCUCAUGGAACCAUCACCACUCUAUCUCCAGAGCUCUUUUCAUAUUUUUUUAAGGUUUAAAUAAUUUUAUUUUCAAGCAACCUACAUGCCUUUCUAUUUUCUCCUUAAAAACAAUGCCUCUCCUCCAAAUAAACCAAGGCCAGAUUAAAUAGAGAGCUCAAGAGGUCUAUCACCCAUUUGUCUAAGUGCUGGUGGUGUGGGCAUGAAAAGCAGCAGCAGUUACAACAGCAGGCAAUAGAUCUAAAGUAAUAGCCAAACUUAUUCUCAUUUUCCCAUUCCUAAACCAUCCUUAAAGGAAGUCAUACUGGGAGUUCUCGCUGUCCUCACAGUAGCACAGUAGUCCAGCAGAGCAACAAGGCCAUCUGGAUUUGUGUUCCCAUCAAUAAAGAGCUGGUGGUUUUUGCAGUUAGCAAGGAUUUAUUCUGUAACCUGGGUCUCUGUUCUUCAGGUUUGCCUUUGGUUGAGUUCAUGUUGUCUGUGAUGUACUUCUUAUAGGCUCUUUUAACGUGAAGCUGGUUUCUUGCAAGUGAUGGCCAUGACCGUAUCAACACCAGUGACUGCCUUGGGUAUCUUCUUUACCUGUCAGGUUCUUUAGUGGAGGCAUUGCCAUAAAUGAACAGUGGAACCUAGAGGUCAGGAAAUCAACUCUUAUCAUCAAACCGACCCAGAGAGACCCCCAGCUCAGCCAGUUGCUAUCUGGGAGACCUUGGACAAGUUACUUCAAUGCUCUGUGCCUCCUCACCUCACCUCAAAGAUGGCCAUCACAAUAGUAUAUACCUCAUGGGACUAUUAGAAGCUUUGAUAAAUAAUCAAACUUCAGAAAUGUGUGGCACAAGAAGAACUACAGAUGUCAUCCAGGUGACUGCGGUGCUGGCUCAAGCGUGAGAACCACUACUUUCUAGUCCAGAGAAUCUUCCAGGGUAUUAGCUGGGAUGCAAAACCACGUUGCUAUCUGAUCUCGUCACGCUUCUGCCAAGAGGAAAUCUAAGAGCCCAGGUUCUUGAUGCCUGACAUCUUCUUCAGGUCACUUACCUGAGAACACUUGAGGACACCGAGGGCAAGCCUAGGGAAGGGAAACGGCGCUGCAGGCUGCGGAGGGUGGCAGAAGCUUCUGAGGGCCAUUGGACUGGAGCUAAGCCUUGGAAGGUGAGGGGACUCCAGGUGAGCAGAGGGGAGGGAGGGGCCCUUCCAGCCCAAAGCAGGAAGGAGUGUGAGGGGCCAUGGCAGCCUGUGGGGGCUGGAGGAUAUGAUGCAGAGUCGUGGGAAGUGAGGCUGGAUGGGUCCCCAGUUGGAGGAGGUAACAGAUGAAGUUGGAGUUGUUUCCUGAGCAGAGAACUGUGUGGAAGAAUGAAUUCUAUCGGUACCAAGAAGGCAUCCUGUCCUGCAGGAGUCACGAUGGAAAGGCGUGUGGUGUGAAGCAGGUCAGGUAUGAAGCAGUCGGGCUGGGAGGGGCCUACUCUAAUGAGCAGUCGGGCUGGGAGGGGCCCACUCUAAUGUGGGGAAUCACUGGGCAGUCAGAACGCAGAACUCUGGACUUCUUUCUCUUAAUGUAAAGUUUCUCCAUUUUUUAGAAGAGGCUAGGUUUUUAAAAACUGAGGUAUAAUUGACACCCUGUUAUGUUGGUUUCAGGUGUACAACAUGGUGAUUUGAUGAGUGUAUCCAUGAUGCUGUGUUCCCCACGAGUUAGCUCCCAUCUGUCCCCAAACAGUGCUGUUACUGUUCCACUGACUGUAUUCCCUGUGCUGUAUCUUCCAUCCCCGUGGCUUAUUUAUUCUGUAAUUGGAAGCCUGAACCUCCCACUCCCCGUCACGCGUCUUCCUCACCAACCCCAGCCUCUUAACCUCUGGCAACUGUCAGUCUUUUCUCUGUAUUAUGGGUCUACUUCUGCUCGUUUUCAUUGGUGUCAUUCAUUUGCUUCGAUUUUUAGAUUCCACAUAUAUGUGCAAUCACAUGGUAUUUGUUUUUCUCUCUCUGACUUAUUUCACUUAGUGUAAUUCCCUCUAGGUCCAUCUGUGUGGUUGCAAAUGGCAAGAUCUUAUAUAUUUUUAUGGCUGAGCAAUAUUCCACGGUUUAUACAUCAUAUCUUCUUUAUCCAUUGCAUCCACUGAUGAACAUUUGGUUUGCGUCCAUAUCUUGACUAUUGUGAAUAAUGCUGCAGUAAAAAAGGGCACAUAUA
Mustela lutreola (European mink) is the source of this 16273-nucleotide long non-coding RNA. RefSeq lists it as uncharacterized. The record is from RefSeq and is a predicted model, not a curated record. The transcript has 11 exons. NCBI's taxonomy places the organism in Eukaryota, Metazoa, Chordata, Mammalia, Carnivora, Mustelidae.